This 487-nucleotide ribosomal RNA is filed under the name uncultured Planctomycetota bacterium. RNAcentral describes it as "bacterial SSU rRNA". It matches the Rfam family "Bacterial small subunit ribosomal RNA", at positions 355 to 858 of the family's 1533-position model. Lineage: Bacteria; Pseudomonadati; Planctomycetota. The record is from RNAcentral.
UCGAGAAUCUUCGGCAAUGGGCGCAAGCCUGACCGAGCGACGCCGCGUGCAGGACGAAGGCCUUCGGGUUGUAAACUGCUGUCAGGGGGGAGCAAACCAAUGAGCGAUCCCCAGAGGAAGCACGGGCUAAGUUCGUGCCAGCAGCCGCGGUAAGACGAACCGUGCGAACGUUGUUCGGAAUCACUGGGCUUAAAGGGCGCGUAGGCGGCCCGCAUAGUCAGGGGUGAAAUCUUUCGGCUUAACCGGAAAAGGGCCUCUGAUACUGGCGGGCUGGAGGGAGGUAGGGGCGGGCGGAACUUCCGGUGGAGCGGUGAAAUGUGUUGAUAUCGGAAGGAACGCCGGUGGCGAAAGCGGCCCGCUGGACCUCUUCUGACGCUGAGGCGCGAAAGCCAGGGGAGCGAACGGGAUUAGAUACCCCGGUAGUCCUGGCCCUAAACGAUGGGUACUGAGUAGUGGACUGACAUGGGUUCACUGCUGAAGCAAAAGU